RNAcentral lists this ribosomal RNA (579 nucleotides) under Neottiella vivida. Its description in RNAcentral is "partial large subunit ribosomal RNA". It matches the Rfam family "Eukaryotic large subunit ribosomal RNA", at positions 87 to 651 of the family's 3401-position model. Lineage: Eukaryota; Fungi; Ascomycota; Pezizomycetes; Pezizales; Pyronemataceae. The record is from RNAcentral.
CUGCGAGUGAAGCGGCAGAAGCUCAAAUUUGAAAUCUAGCAUCUUCGGUGCUCGAGUUGUAAUUUGGAGGGGUAUCUUCGGAAUCGGAACCCGCUCUAUGUUCCUUGGAACAGGACGUCGUGGAGGGUGAGAAUCCCGUGCACGGGUGGGUGUCCGUUCUCCAUGCGAAGUGCCUCCGACGAGUCGAGUUGUUUGGGAAUGCAGCUCAAAAUGGGUGGUAAAUUUCAUCUAAAGCUAAAUACAGGCGAGAGACCGAUAGCGCACAAGUAGAGUGAUCGAAAGAUGAAAAGCACUUUGAAAAGAGAGUUAAAAAGUACGUGAAAUUGUUGAAAGGGAAGCGCUUGAGAUCAAACUCGGCCGUUGGCGACCAACCGUGCUUCUGUGCGGUGUACUCGCCGGCGGCUGGGCCAGCAUCGGUUCCGAACCGCGUGGGAAACACGGAAGGGGAAUGUGGCUCGUGCUCGCGCGCGAGUGUUAUAGACCCGGCCUGUCGAUGCCGCCAGUUGGGACCGAGGUCAAUGCGUCACCCUGGUUCGCUGGGGUGGCAAUGAUGCUGGUGAAACGGUCUUAAGCGACCCG